RNAcentral lists this ribosomal RNA (918 nucleotides) under Rotundocollarette capoori. RNAcentral's name for it is "SSU rRNA". It matches the Rfam family "Eukaryotic small subunit ribosomal RNA", at positions 105 to 1016 of the family's 1831-position model. Lineage: Eukaryota; Metazoa; Nematoda; Chromadorea; Rhabditida; Anisakidae. The record is from RNAcentral.
CACAGCUAUAAUGUACUUGAUCUUGAUAAUCCAAACGUGGAUAACUGUGGUAAUUCUAGAGCUAAUACAUGCACCAAAGCUCCGACUUUGUGGACGAGCGCAUCUAUUAGGUUAAAACCAAUCGGGCUUUGCGCCCGUCAAUUGGUGACUCUGAAUAGCUAUGGCUGAUCGCAUGGUCUUGUACCGGCGACGUGUCUAUCAAGUGUCUGCCUUAUCAACUUUCGAUGGUAGUUUAUGUGCCUACCAUGGUUGUAACGGGUAACGGAGAAUAAGGGUUCGACUCCGGAGAGGGAGCCUGAGAAACGGCUACCACAUCCAAGGAAGGCAGCAGGCGCGCAAAUUACCCACUCUCGGCAAGAGGAGGUAGUGACGAAAAAUAACGAGACCGUUCUCUUCGAGGCCGGUUAUCGGAAUGGGUACAAUUUAAACCCGUUAACGAGAAUCUAUGAGAGGGCAAGUCUGGUGCCAGCAGCCGCGGUAAUUCCAGCUCUCAAAGUGUAUAUCGUCAUUGCUGCGGUUAAAAAGCUCGUAGUUGGAUCUGCGCCUCAGGACCUGGUCCGUCCUUUGGACGAGAACUGGGCUCCUAGGCUAGUUGUGUCGGUUUUCCCUGUGUUGCCUUCACCGGUCGCGCAGGGUGGCCGGCGAGUUUACCUUGAAAAAAUUAGAGUGCUCAAUGCGGGCUGACGCCUGAAUACUCGUGCAUGGAAUAAUGAAAUAGGAUCUCGGUUCUAUUUUGUUGGUUUUCUGAUCUGAGAUAAUGGUUAAGAGGGACGGACGGGGGCAUUCGUAUCGCUGCGUGAGAGGUGAAAUUCUUGGACCGUAGCGAGACGCCCGACUGCGAAAGCAUUUGCCAAGAAUGUCUUCAUUAAUCAAGAACGAAAGUCAGAGGUUCGAAGCGUAAAAAAACCCCCCCCACAA